UUUGAUGGUGGCUGUAUGCAGGGCGCCUUCGGGCGCACCGGCUUGAGACGUUCCCCGGUCCGCUAACCUGCGUGCAGCUGCCACCCUU
Molecule: non-coding RNA, 88 nt
Filed under: Pseudomonas sp. SJZ080
Lineage: Bacteria; Pseudomonadati; Pseudomonadota; Gammaproteobacteria; Pseudomonadales; Pseudomonadaceae
Source: RNAcentral